AGUCCUUCGCCGUCCCUCGCCGUCCUUCGCCAUCGCACGCCACCGCACCCCAUCUCUCGAAAUCUGCAGACAUCUUGAUUUUUCCCACGCUGUCUGUCAGGUCUCCGCCGCCACUCGACGCCAGGGCGCCGGGUGAGUCCACAGCAGGGCGCAUGGUCGGCUCCACUCUCACCAUCGGGGGAAACUGAGGCCCCGGGGAAGGCGGCCAGAGAGGUCAGGCCCUGUCCUUGGUGCAGUGUCUCGUCCUCUUUGCCGGAGUGAGCCCCCCAGGAUUCGCGUGUCCUCGGGAAAGACACUGGCAGGCCUUGUGGGCUGUGCUGCACCUCGGACGGCUUCGCACCAGCCAGCGCCCUCUCUCUCCUGCAGCACUCUGAUCUGCACCCCCUGAGGGGCUUCCACUGUCCGCGGGGUGAGAAUGCCCCUGGGAGUGUCACAUGACUGCCGCCCCAUGUGUGUGAGAGGCGUCCUCUGGGAGAGCAUGGAUCCUGAGGUCCCAGGAUUGUCAGCUGACCUCUGUCCUGUGUGCCCAGUGGCCCCAGGUGACGUGUCUUCAAGAAGAGGCUGAGCUGCGGUGCUUGUAAGGCAGGGUCUCAUUCUGUCACCCAGGCUGGAGUGCAGUGGUGCAAUGAUGGCUCACUGCAGCCUCGACCUGGGCUCAAGUGAUCCUCCACCUCAGCUUCCUGAGUAGCUGGGACCACAGAUGGGUCUGCUGUGUGCAGAGGCUCCAUGGGAUGUGUUGUCUUCAUAGUAGCAGGGCGCUGGACCAUGGGUCCGCAAGGUCUCAGCCUUAGAUCCAAGGACAGUCCAAGGAAGUCCUAAGACCAUGGAGUUGGUGAUCUGGGAUCUGGGUUUGCUGAUAUUUCUCACCGUGAAUCUCUUGGUGGUGUUUGUGGGCACGAGAGGGGCAGAGAAUGGAGAGUGAGGCUACCACAUGAAGCGUCACCAGAGCUGCUCCCUGCUGCCUGCUCAGAGCACCCCGGAUCCACUGUUCAAUCUGCACAAGAUUCGGGGUCCAGACAUGGGAGACUUCAGCUGCCUCAGAGGACCGUGGACAGGGAAGGCCAGCCUCGCAUCCCUCUGUCCAUGCCUGGAAUGACUUUAAUAACCAAGAGUUUUAUUUUUGAAUUUGUAGCUGUCGUUCACUUUUUACCCACCCAUUCAAUAAACCUUACAGAAUUGCUCCA
RNAcentral lists this long non-coding RNA (1184 nucleotides) under Homo sapiens (human). RNAcentral describes it as "small nucleolar RNA host gene 17, transcript variant 25 (SNHG17)". The record is from RNAcentral. Lineage: Eukaryota; Metazoa; Chordata; Mammalia; Primates; Hominidae.